GACGAACGCUGGCGGCGUGCUUAACACAUGCAAGUCGAACGGAAAGGCCCUGCUUUUGUGGGGUGCUCGAGUGGCGAACGGGUGAGUAACACGUGAGUAACCGGCCCUUGACUUUGGGAUAACUUCAGGAAACUGGGGCUAAUACCGGAUAGGAGCUCCUGCUGCAUGGUGGGGGUUGGAAAGUUUCGGCGGUUGGGGAUGGACUCGCGGCUUAUCAGCUUGUUGGUGGGGUAGUGGCCUACCAAGGCUUUGACGGGUAGCCGGCCUGAGAGGGUGACCGGCCACAUUGGGACUGAGGUACGGCCCAGACUCCUACGGGAGGCAGCAGUGGGGAAUAUUGCACAAUGGGCGGAAGCCUGAUGCAGCAACGCCGCGUGCGGGAUGACGGCCUUCGGGUUGUAAACCGCUUUCGCCUGUGACGAAGCGUGAGUGACGGUAAUGGGUAAAGAAGCACCGGCUAACUACGUG
This 468-nucleotide ribosomal RNA is filed under the name uncultured bacterium. RNAcentral's name for it is "partial 16S ribosomal RNA". It matches the Rfam family "Bacterial small subunit ribosomal RNA", at positions 28 to 507 of the family's 1533-position model. The record is from RNAcentral.